ACGGCUCAGUAACACGUGGCUAACCUGCCCUUGGGACGGGACCAACCCCGGGAAACUGGGGCUAAUCCCCGAUAGGUGAAGAACUCUGGAAUGAGUCUUUGCCUAAAUGGCGUGUAGAUCAUGCUUCUAUGCGUUGCCCAAGGAUGGGGCCGCGACCGAUCAGGUUGUUGGUGAGGUAAUGGCCCACCAAGCCUAUAACCGGUGCGGGCCGUGAGAGCGGGAGCCCGGAGAUGGGCACUGAGACAAGGGCCCAGGUCCUACGGGGCGCAGCAGUCGCGAAAACUUUGCAAUACACGAAAGUGUGACAGGGCUAUCCCGAGUGCCAUCCGCUGAGGAAGGCUUUUACCCAGUCUAGAACGCUGGGGGAAUAAGGAGAGGGCAAGUCUGGUGUCAGCCGCCGCGGUAAUACCAGCACCCCGAGUGGUCGGGACGUUUAUUGGGCCUAAAGCAUCCGUAGCCGGUUCUACAAGUCUUCCGUUAAAUCCACCUGCUUAACAGAUGGGCUGCGGAAGAUACUAUAGAGCUAGGAGGCGGGAGAGGCAAGCGGCACUCGAUGGGUAGGGGUAAAAUCCGUUGAUCCAUUGAAGACCACCAGUGGCGAAGGCGGCUUGCCAGAACGCGCUCGACGGUGAGGGAUGAAAGCUGGGGGAGCAAACCGGAUUAGAUACCCGGGUAGUCCCAGCUGUAAACGAUGCAGACUCGGUGAUGAGUUGGCUUUUUGCUAACUCAGUGCCGCAGGGAAGCCGUUAAGUUUGCCGCCUGGGGAGUACGGUCGCAAGACUGAAACUUAAAGGAAUUGGCGGGGGGAG
This 809-nucleotide ribosomal RNA is filed under the name uncultured archaeon. RNAcentral describes it as "bacterial SSU rRNA". It matches the Rfam family "Archaeal small subunit ribosomal RNA", at positions 85 to 877 of the family's 1478-position model. The record is from RNAcentral.